UCCCUGGUGGCUCAGACAGUAAAGCGUCUGCCUACAAGGUGGGAGACCCAGGUUCAAUCCCUGGGUUGGGAA
This 72-nucleotide transfer RNA is filed under the name Bos taurus (domestic cattle). It matches the Rfam family "tRNA". From Rfam's summary of the family: Transfer RNA (tRNA) molecules are approximately 80 nucleotides in length. Their secondary structure includes four short double-helical elements and three loops (D, anti-codon, and T loops). Further hydrogen bonds mediate the characteristic L-shaped molecular structure. tRNAs have two regions of fundamental functional importance: the anti-codon, which is responsible for specific mRNA codon recognition, and the 3' end, to which the tRNAs corresponding amino acid is attached (by aminoacyl-tRNA synthetases). tRNAs cope with the degeneracy of the genetic code in two manners: having more than one tRNA (with a specific anti-codon) for a particular amino acid; and 'wobble' base-pairing, i.e. permitting non-standard base-pairing at the 3rd anti-codon position. The record is from Rfam by way of RNAcentral. RNAcentral also lists the same sequence under 2 other names. Lineage: Eukaryota; Metazoa; Chordata; Mammalia; Artiodactyla; Bovidae.